This 253-nucleotide ribosomal RNA is filed under the name uncultured bacterium. RNAcentral describes it as "partial 16S ribosomal RNA". It matches the Rfam family "Bacterial small subunit ribosomal RNA", at positions 524 to 776 of the family's 1533-position model. The record is from RNAcentral.
UACGUAGGGUGCGAGCGUUAAUCGGAAUUACUGGGCGUAAAGCGUGCGCAGGCGGUGGCUCAAGCCAGGCGUGAAAUCCCCGGGCUUAACCUGGGAAUGGCGUUUGGGACUGGAUCGCUAGAGUGUGGCAGAGGGAGGUGGAAUUCCACGUGUAGCAGUGAAAUGCGUAGAGAUGUGGAGGAACACCGAUGGCGAAGGCAGCCUCCUGGGCCAGCACUGACGCUCAUGCACGAAAGCGUGGGGAGCAAACAGG